Molecule: ribosomal RNA, 465 nt
Filed under: uncultured bacterium
Lineage: Bacteria
Description: partial 16S ribosomal RNA
Rfam family: Bacterial small subunit ribosomal RNA
Source: RNAcentral
GACGAACGCUGGCGGCGUGCUUAACACAUGCAAGUCGUACGGUAAGGCCCUUUCGGGGGUACACGAGUGGCGAACGGGGGCGUAACACGUGAGUAACCUGCCCACAACUUUGUGUUAACGCUAGGAAACUGGGGCUAAUACUGGAUAUAUGCCCCUGCUGCAUGGUGGGGGUUGGGAAGCUCCUGCGGUCGUGGAUGGACUCGCGGCCUAUCAGCUUGUUGGUGGGGUAGUGGCCUACCAAGGCGGCGACGGGUAGCCGGCCUGAGAGGGUGAGCGGCCACAUUGGGACUGAGAUACGGCCCCGACUCCUACGGGAGGCAGCAGUGGGGAAUAUUGCACCAUGGGCGCAAGCCUGAUGCAGAAACGCCGCGUGCGGGAUGGCGGCCUUCGGGUUGUAAACCGCUUUCAGCAGGGACGAAGCUUUUUGUGACGGUACCUGCAGAAGAAGCACCGGCUAACUACGUG